GCCUGAGGGUCAAGGAAGAGAACAAUCGGGCUAGCCGCAUCGAAGCCUGUCGGUGGGCCGACGUGCAGGCGAAAGUCUAAUAUACCGACUACGCUCGUAGAAGCUUAAAUUACGAUAUCUCUGGACGUGGGUUCGACUCCCACCGUCUCCACCA
Molecule: transfer RNA, 154 nt
Filed under: Scopulibacillus daqui
Lineage: Bacteria; Bacillati; Bacillota; Bacilli; Caryophanales; Sporolactobacillaceae
Description: tRNA-OTHER
Rfam family: transfer-messenger RNA
About the family: Bacterial tmRNA, also known as 10Sa RNA or SsrA, is named for its dual tRNA and mRNA-like properties. Its role is to liberate the mRNA from a stalled ribosome.
Source: RNAcentral